AUUGAACGCUGGCGGCAGGCCUAACACAUGCAAGUCGAGCGGAUGAAGGGAGCUUGCUCCUGGAUUCAGCGGCGGACGGGUGAGUAACGCCUAGGAAUCUGCCUGGUAGUGGGGGAUAACGUCCGGAAACGGGCGCUAAUACCGCAUACGUCCUGAGGGAGAAAGUGGGGGAUCUUCGGACCUCACGCUAUCAGAUGAGCCUAGGUCGGAUUAGCUAGUUGGUGGGGUAAAGGCCUACCAAGGCGACGAUCCGUAACUGGUCUGAGAGGAUGAUCAGUCACACUGGAACUGAGACACGGUCCAGACUCCUACGGGAGGCAGCAGUGGGGAAUAUUGGACAAUGGGCGAAAGCCUGAUCCAGCCAUGCCGCGUGUGUGAAGAAGGUCUUCGGAUUGUAAAGUACUUUAAGUUGGGAGGAAGGGCAGUAAGUUAAUACCUUGCUGUUUUGACGUUACCAACAGAAUAAGCACCGGCUAACUUCGUG
RNAcentral lists this ribosomal RNA (484 nucleotides) under uncultured bacterium. Its description in RNAcentral is "partial 16S ribosomal RNA". It matches the Rfam family "Bacterial small subunit ribosomal RNA", at positions 30 to 507 of the family's 1533-position model. The record is from RNAcentral.